RNAcentral lists this ribosomal RNA (253 nucleotides) under uncultured bacterium. Its description in RNAcentral is "partial 16S ribosomal RNA". It matches the Rfam family "Bacterial small subunit ribosomal RNA", at positions 524 to 776 of the family's 1533-position model. The record is from RNAcentral.
UACGAAGGGGGCUAGCGUUGCUCGGAAUCACUGGGCGUAAAGCGCACGUAGGCGGAUUGUUAAGUCAGGGGUGAAAUCCUGGAGCUCAACUCCAGAACUGCCUUUGAUACUGGCGAUCUCGAGUCCGGGAGAGGUGAGUGGAACUGCGAGUGUAGAGGUGAAAUUCGUAGAUAUUCGCAAGAACACCAGUGGCGAAGGCGGCUCACUGGCCCGAUACUGACGCUGAGGUGCGAAAGCGUGGGGAGCAAACAGG